Long non-coding RNA from Homo sapiens (human), 1205 nucleotides. Ensembl annotates it as long intergenic non-protein coding RNA 1500. The record is from Ensembl. NCBI's taxonomy places the organism in Eukaryota, Metazoa, Chordata, Mammalia, Primates, Hominidae.
AGAUCUUUUUCACUAAUAGAUCGCCUCCUGAAUGUGAAGACCAAUUAUAAGCUUUGUGUUUUGGAUGCAAUACGUAUUCAAUGACAGCCUUCACGUUAGACUGCACGAUUAAGGAAGAUCAGGCAGGUUGGGGCUCCCAGGGCCCAGCUAUUUAUUAUCUACUCUGCACCAAUCAUCAGAUGUAGUGGUGAAAAGAUGGACAAAAUUUCUACUCUCAGCUUACAUUUUGGUGAUGGGAGAUGGACAAUCAACCCAGGUCAAUGACAGAUGCUGGAGCAGAACACAUAGACAUACAGGUCGACGUUUAUUUCUUUCUGAACUUUCCUGGAGGAUCAUCGGCCAUACUCCAGCAGAAGGGUGGAUUUGAAAAAAUAACGUUUCCACGGCAACAGUGGCAGCAAUUCAAAGGAAGACGUUGGAGAAUUCACAUGCUAUUUUAGCUGGCUCUGUGAUUGCAAUCACACAAAUCAUUACAUUCCAGCGAGAUCCCAUCAACAGAAGGUUUUUCCAUUUCAGUCUGUCAAGCAAAGCCCAGAGUCUUCCCUGGAGAAGAGUGCUGAUGACGAGGAUUCAUGUCUCACAACCCAGCACACAGGAAUGAUGUCACACAGAUGAGUAAACAGAAACAUCUGAUAACUUCCACCUAGUGCAUGGAGAGCUAGAAUUUGAAGUAGGGCUGACCAAUACCAAAGCCUGAUGUCUAGUGAAAUUCACACAAUGCUGCAAAUCUGAAGACUCUGCAGCAGAUUUUGUAGGUACUUUCAGCAGAGGAGUUUCAGAAAUGCUUUGCACAAACACAGGUUCACCAAGUGAGUGAUCACACGGGAAGACCACGUGGGAAGGUGGUGUUUUUCAUCAUUGGUUAUUUAUGAUGCUUUGAUCCUGGAAACAUGAGCUAAAUGAGAAAGCCAGAGAAAGGGAUUCACUUAACAACGGAUAACCUUGUUGUAUCAUAAAUUACAAGAAGAAAGCCAAUCAUCUUUCAAGCUGCAUCAUCAUAAACAAACUUAAAAGAAGAAGCUACCAGGAUUCAUGGCAACUUUUUUGCUUCCCAACCUGGAAUUCCCCAGUAUGUGCUGUCUGACUGGUUUCUGUUCUCUAGUAGGGAUAGAUCCUUUGCCAUGUUGAUUAGCUUAAUUGUGCCAUUUUAUUAUUUGGGAUGUGAACAUAGAAAAAAAUUUUUCAAUAAAAUCGAAGAAUUAAUA